AUCCACUUGACGAGUCCCAAAUAAGACGAAACCUGCAUCCUGGAU
This 45-nucleotide non-coding RNA is filed under the name Schistosoma mattheei. The record is from RNAcentral. Lineage: Eukaryota; Metazoa; Platyhelminthes; Trematoda; Strigeidida; Schistosomatidae.